Molecule: ribosomal RNA, 550 nt
Filed under: uncultured bacterium
Lineage: Bacteria
Description: partial 16S ribosomal RNA
Rfam family: Bacterial small subunit ribosomal RNA
Source: RNAcentral
UGGGGAAUAUUGCACAAUGGGCGCAAGCCUGAUGCAGCGACGCCGCGUGAGGGAUGACGGCCUUCGGGUUGUAAACCUCUUUCAAUAGGGACGAAGCGCAAGUGACGGUACCUAUAGAAGAAGGACCGGCCAACUACGUGCCAGCAGCCGCGGUAAUACGUAGGGUCCGAGCGUUGUCCGGAAUUACUGGGCGUAAAGAGCUCGUAGGUGGUUUGUCGCGUUGUUCGUGAAAACUCACAGCUUAACUGUGGGCGUGCGGGCGAUACGGGCAGACUAGAGUACUGCAGGGGAGACUGGAAGUUCCUGGUGUAGCGGUGGAAUGCGCAGAUAUCAGGAGGAACACCGGUGGCGAAGGCGGGUCUCUGGGCAGUAACUGACGCUGAGGAGCGAAAGCGUGGGGAGCGAACAGGAUUAGAUACCCUGGUAGUCCACGCCGUAAACGGUGGGUACUAGGUGUGGGUUUCCUUCCUUGGGAUCCGUGCCGUAGCUAACGCAUUAAGUACCCCGCCUGGGGAGUACGGCCGCAAGGCUAAAACUCAAAUGAAUUGAC